UAGCUGUAAACGAUGCGGACUUGGUGUUGGGGUGGCUUUGAGCUGUCCCAGUGCCGAAGGGAAGCUGUUAAGUCCGCCGCCUGGGAAGUACGGUCGCAAGACUGAAACUUAAAGGAAUUGGCGGGGGGAGCACCACAACGCGUGGAGCCUGCGGUUUAAUUGGAUUCAACGCCGGACAUCUCACCAGAGGCGACAGCUGUAUGAUAGCCAGGUUGAUGACUUUGCUUGACUAGCUGAGAGGAGGUGCAUGGCGUAGACGUCU
RNAcentral lists this ribosomal RNA (262 nucleotides) under uncultured archaeon. RNAcentral's name for it is "partial 16S ribosomal RNA". It matches the Rfam family "Archaeal small subunit ribosomal RNA", at positions 748 to 1009 of the family's 1478-position model. The record is from RNAcentral.